UGUAUUACCCUUUAGGGACUGGUCUUGCC
Molecule: non-coding RNA, 29 nt
Filed under: Mus musculus (house mouse)
Lineage: Eukaryota; Metazoa; Chordata; Mammalia; Rodentia; Muridae
Source: RNAcentral